CCUACGGGUGGCAGCAGUGGGGAAUAUUGGACAAUGGGGGGAACCCUGAUCCAGCCAUGCCGCGUGUGUGAAGAAGGCCCUCGGGUUGUAAAGCACUUUCAGUGAGGAAGAACGCCUGGUGGUUAAUACCCAUCAGGAAAGACAUCACUCACAGAAGAAGCACCGGCUAACUCCGUGCCAGCAGCCGCGGUAAUACGGAGGGUGCGAGCGUUAAUCGGAAUUACUGGGCGUAAAGCGCGCGUAGGUGGCUUGAUAAGCCGGUUGUGAAAGCCCCGGGCUCAACCUGGGAACGGCAUCCGGAACUGUCAAGCUAGAGUGCAGGAGAGGAAGGUAGAAUUCCCGGUGUAGCGGCGAAAUGCGUAGAGAUCGGGAGGAAUACCAGUGGCGAAGGCGGCCUUCUGGACUGACACUGACACUGAGGUGCGAAAGCGUGGGUAGCAAACAGGAUUAGAUACCCUGGUAGUC
Molecule: ribosomal RNA, 465 nt
Filed under: Vreelandella stevensii
Lineage: Bacteria; Pseudomonadati; Pseudomonadota; Gammaproteobacteria; Oceanospirillales; Halomonadaceae
Description: partial 16S ribosomal RNA
Rfam family: Bacterial small subunit ribosomal RNA
Source: RNAcentral